RNAcentral lists this long non-coding RNA (486 nucleotides) under Chrysemys picta bellii (western painted turtle). RNAcentral's name for it is "lncRNA (ENSCPBG00000027126.1)". Lineage: Eukaryota; Metazoa; Chordata; Testudines; Emydidae. The record is from RNAcentral.
CUGGAGAGGCAUCAGCCAAGUCAGGGCUCCAAGCUCCAGGGCUGUACAAGAAUUGACGGCCUGACUCCCGCUGGGAAGAGGAAAAUACUAUUUGCACCAGCUGCUAAAAACCUACCGACUAUAGACUGACUCCCCUGGAACUGGGUGCAGGCUGUCCCCAGUGCCUGGAAUGCUGGUAGCAUCCCUACCUGCCUGACUCUCCUCGGCUCCUCGCUGGUAAAACACAAACAGCCCUUUGUUCCACAGAGCUCCCUUGCCAUCAUGUCUCAAAGACGCAUUUCCUUGAAGGAUGUGAACUUGGAUUCCCCGAACCUUCUAUGCACCAGUAAUGAAAAUGGAAAGUGAUAGCUUUAAUCUGGUAUCUGUUAGGCCAGGAAACCUCCUAUGACACCUCUCAGAGAGAUCUGCGCGAUUUAAAGAACAUCAUCCUACCAUACAGGUAAAUGGGGAAUUUGGGACAUGUCUAGCAAUUCCAGCCUCUCCCCG